GGGCCCGCACAAGCGGUGGAUUAUGUGGUUUAAUUCGAAGCAACGCGCAGAACCUUACCUAGGCUUGAAAUCCUCAGAAUUCGACGUAAUGGUCGAAGUGCCCGCAAGGGAAUUGAGUGACAGGUGCUGCAUGGCUGUCGUCAGCUCGUGUUGUGAAAUGUUGGGUUAAGUCUCGCAACGAGCGCAACCCCUAUCUUUAGUUGCCAGCAUUAAGUUGGGCACUCUAGAGAGACUGCCCGGGUUAACCGGGAGGAAGGUGGGGAUGACGUCAAGUCCUCAUGGCCCUUAUGCCUAGGGCUACACACGUAAUACAAUGGUGCAUACAAUGGGAAGCGACCCGGCGACGGUAAGCAAAUCUCAAAAAGUGCAUCUCAGUCCGGAUUGGAGUCUGCAACUCGACUCCAUG
Molecule: ribosomal RNA, 406 nt
Filed under: uncultured bacterium
Lineage: Bacteria
Description: bacterial SSU rRNA
Rfam family: Bacterial small subunit ribosomal RNA
Source: RNAcentral